Molecule: ribosomal RNA, 496 nt
Filed under: uncultured bacterium
Lineage: Bacteria
Description: partial 16S ribosomal RNA
Rfam family: Bacterial small subunit ribosomal RNA
Source: RNAcentral
GAUGAACGCUAGCGGCAGGCUUAACACAUGCAAGUCGAGGGGUAGAGGAAGCUUGCUUCCUUGAGACCGGCGCACGGGUGCGUAACGCGUAUACAAUCUACCUUUUACAGAGGGAUAGCCCAGAGAAAUUUGGAUUAAUACCUCAUAGUAUCUUCUGAAGGCAUCUUCAGAUUAUUAAAGUUCCAACGGUAAAAGAUGAGUAUGCGUCCCAUUAGCUAGAUGGUAAGGUAGCGGCUUACCAUGGCAAUGAUGGGUAGGGGUCCUGAGAGGGAGAUCCCCCACACUGGUACUGAGACACGGACCAGACUCCUACGGGAGGCAGCAGUGAGGAAUAUUGGACAAUGGGCGCAAGCCUGAUCCAGCCAUGCCGCGUGCAGGAAGACGGUCCUAUGGAUUGUAAACUGCUUUUAUACAGGAAGAAACACUCCCUCGUGAGGGAACUUGACGGUACUGUAUGAAUAAGCAUCGGCUAACUCCGUGCCAGCCGCCGCCGUAA